UGAGUAACACGUGAGUAACCUGCCCUUGACUUCGGGAUAACUCCGGGAAACCGGGGCUAAUACCGGAUAUGAGCCGCCUUCGCAUGGGGGUGGUUGGAAAGUUUUUCGGUCAGGGAUGGGCUCGCGGCCUAUCAGCUUGUUGGUGGGGUGAUGGCCUACCAAGGCGACGACGGGUAGCCGGCCUGAGAGGGCGACCGGCCACACUGGGACUGAGACACGGCCCAGACUCCUACGGGAGGCAGCAGUGGGGAAUAUUGCACAAUGGGCGAAAGCCUGAUGCAGCGACGCCGCGUGAGGGAUGAAGGCCUUCGGGUUGUAAACCUCUUUCAGCAGGGAAGAAGCGCAAGUGACGGUACCUGCAGAAGAAGCGCCGGCUAACUACGUGCCAGCAGCCGCGGUAAUACGUAGGGCGCAAGCGUUGUCCGGAAUUAUUGGGCGUAAAGAGCUCGUAGGCGGUUUGUCGCGUCUGGUGUGAAAACUCGAGGCUCAACCUCGAGCUUGCAUCGGGUACGGGCAGACUAGAGUGCGGUAGGGGAGACUGGAAUUCCUGGUGUAGCGGUGGAAUGCGCAGAUAUCAGGAGGAACACCGAUGGCGAAGGCAGGUCUCUGGGCCGCAACUGACGCUGAGGAGCGAAAGCAUGGGGAGCGAACAGGAUUAGAUACCCUGGUAGUCCA
Molecule: ribosomal RNA, 675 nt
Filed under: Cellulosimicrobium funkei
Lineage: Bacteria; Bacillati; Actinomycetota; Actinomycetes; Micrococcales; Promicromonosporaceae
Description: bacterial SSU rRNA
Rfam family: Bacterial small subunit ribosomal RNA
Source: RNAcentral